GAUACCCUGCCUUGUGCGUGACGGGGCCGAUUCUUCUGACCCUACAUGGUUAACUCCAUUGGGAGCUCGGCAUCCGGUGGCGGCGGCAAGCUGCAUUGCUUGCCUUAACCAGCGGUAGAGCACCCACCUCGAUAUUCGAGGUUCAGAAGACAAUGCCCUUGACGGCAAGGCGGGGUUUUU
This 180-nucleotide non-coding RNA is filed under the name Verrucomicrobiota bacterium. Its description in RNAcentral is "Verrucomicrobia bacterium 6S RNA". It matches the Rfam family "6S / SsrS RNA". From Rfam's summary of the family: E. coli 6S RNA was the first non coding RNA to be sequenced, but its function was unknown until recently. It consists of 184 nucleotides that fold into an extended hairpin structure with a large single-stranded internal bulge. The 6S RNA specifically associates with RNA polymerase holoenzyme containing the sigma70 specificity factor. The record is from RNAcentral. Lineage: Bacteria; Pseudomonadati; Verrucomicrobiota.